This 451-nucleotide ribosomal RNA is filed under the name uncultured bacterium. RNAcentral's name for it is "partial 16S ribosomal RNA". It matches the Rfam family "Bacterial small subunit ribosomal RNA", at positions 354 to 796 of the family's 1533-position model. The record is from RNAcentral.
GUGGGGAAUAUUGGACAAUGGGGGGAACCCUGAUCCAGCCAUGCCGCGUGUGUGAAGAAGGCCUUUUGGUUGUAACGCACUUUAAGCGAGGAGGAGGCUACCGAGAUUAAUACUCUUGGAUAGUGGACGUUACUCGCAGAAUAAGCACCGGCUAACUCUGUGCCAGCAGCCGCGGUAAUACAGAGGGUGCAAGCGUUAAUCGGAUUUACUGGGCGUAAAGCGCGCGUAGGUGGCCAAUUAAGUCAAAUGUGAAAUCCCCGAGCUUAACUUGGGAAUUGCAUUCGAUACUGGUUGGCUAGAGUAUGGGAGAGGAUGGUAGAAUUCCAGGUGUAGCGGUGAAAUGCGUAGAGAUCUGGAGGAAUACCGAUGGCGAAGGCAGCCAUCUGGCCUAAUACUGACACUGAGGUGCGAAAGCAUGGGGAGCAAACAGGAUUAGAAACCCGUGUAGUCC